Molecule: ribosomal RNA, 253 nt
Filed under: uncultured bacterium
Lineage: Bacteria
Description: partial 16S ribosomal RNA
Rfam family: Bacterial small subunit ribosomal RNA
Source: RNAcentral
UACGGAGGGUGCAAGCGUUAUCCGGAUUCACUGGGUUUAAAGGGUGCGUAGGCGGGCAGGUAAGUCCGUGGUGAAAUCUCUGAGCUUAACUCAGAAACUGCCAUGGAUACUAUUUGUCUUGAAUAUUGUGGAGGUGAGCGGAAUAUGUCAUGUAGCGGUGAAAUGCUUAGAUAUGACAUAGAACACCCAUUGCGAAGGCAGCUCACUACACAAUGAUUGACGCUGAGGCACGAAAGCGUGGGGAGCAAACAGG